UGCUUUACCUUUUGACUAGCUACUUUCCAGCUAGCAACAGGUCACGCCCAGCUCCUCUCUUAUCCAUUCCCAACAGUCACAAGCUCAGAUAACUCCUCCUUGCUCCCUAAGUUUGCACAUCUCCAUUUCGGGUCAAUCCGGGUAAAGUGGUACGGCCUGCUCAUCCGUACGGUUGAUGGUACGGACCUGAUGUCCGUACCUCGCCCUAUAUUUGCACAACUUCACCAAGCUUCUUCAAUAGAUGAACCAGAUCAUGUUUUGGGUCGCCCUAACUUUGCACGGUCGGUUCGUACCGUCUGAACCUCGGGACGCCCUAUCUUUGCACCAUCACCCAACUAUCUCCAAAUGGUGUCUAAGUCCCUCCUGGACUUAAACACUAUCUUUGUACAGCCUUCAUGACUCUUCUAGACUUCUCUAAACCCUCAUGAAGCCUUGAUAGACAAUCUCUUAAGAUCUUGUCCCUAUCUUUGCACCAGACCCAAACUCCUCCAUGCUUCUCCUUUGGCUCCAUUUCACUCUUCAAGUCAACACUCCCCCUCAAGCUUGACUUUAGGAGAUCCUAAGCCAAGCUUGGAACUCUGAAGAGUCUCCCUCAUUAAAAACCUUACAAGGAAAAUCCAUUGGGACAAAACCUUGCAAGGGAAAAAGAGUAGAGCUCUCCAAAGCCUAGGGAUUGGCCAGUGAGCUCUUGUGCCUUAGAACCAAUGUGGUUGGACACAAGAAGCUCUGGAUCACGGCCUAAUAGGUGCAGCAACUCUUCACAGCUUUGCCUACACUUCACACUUCAGCUUCACCUCUUCAUGGAACCGGUUUGAAGUCUCCCCCUCUCAACUGACUUCACAGCCAUCUUAGAGAAGCUAGGACACGACCAGAUCAUCUUCAAAACACCAGUGAGGCUGAUCAAUCACUUCACACACGGCUUGCCUUCUUCAUCGACCAGGUUUGGAAUCUCCCCCUCUCAACAGACUUCACAGCCUCUUUAGAGAAGCUAAGAGAUGACCCGGAACUGUUUAAUGAGGCAUCAAGCAAUGGUACCUGAUACAUUAUCCCAAAGGUGCAUCAGUACUUAUCAAUACCAAGAAAAUGAAUAUCCUGCAUCCCAAUUGAUGCACACAAUCUCACAAUUCAAUCAUAAUCAUCUUAAGUAUCUUUUCAAGCACAAGCAAUGAAUAAGAUGAAUGAAAAAGAUUGAAAAGAGUUUUAAAAGUCUAAGGGAACUUCCCUUGUGUUUUUGUGAGUUUCCUAACUCGGCCAAUGCACCAUCUUCAUGGCAUCAUCAACUUCUUGGAAAAGCAGAAUGGAUUUAUCAGCUUCUCCUCAAUCACCUCUCAUUGAAGCCGCAUUGAUGGAUAACCUUCUUCCUCACUUGCCAAGACUGCUCUGAACAGCCUCUUGCCUAGACACGCCACUGACUUGGCCCGGUUGAUGAUCCUUUGUAGAAGCCUUUGCAAAGACUUGUUACUGACCAUGGAUCAUAUGCAUUAAGACUCCCCCUCAAGCUUAGAACCGAGACUAGAAGGAGCUAAGCUUGUGAUGAUCCUAUGCAUCUCCAUGGUCUAAUAACUAUCAUCUUUCAUGAUAGCUUUCUUCUUGUGAGUUUACUCUCUUCCUUAACCAGGAACUAGGGUGUUUGAAUCACCAUAGAGAGUCUCACAAGACACACCUCUCAUUGCAUAAUGACCCAUGCUACACUUCCUGUAGACUAAGGACUAGAUAUGUCCAAUGGUAUUAUGCAAUGGCCAUCUCUCAUUGCAUACUCAAUCACACUACACUUCCUGUAGAUUAUGGACUAACAUGUCCUAGUGAUGAUAUGCAAUGGCACAAGACCUUUGUCUUUACAUUCUUGGUUGUUGGCGAGUUACAUGUAUCACAUUCCUUGUGUACCUAACACCACCACAACUCAAUGCAAGAUCAGAUCAUCCCAUUGGGAUCAAACCAAGAUUAUCCAUCCUGUUUGAUCACCAAUGCCAGAAUAAUACAUGAUACUUGAAACAAGCUAGACAAUCAAGACAAUCAAUUCAGUUUUUUUUUUUAAAUGCAACAAUAGAUGAAUGCAUUAGGUUACACACUAACUAUAUGAAUGAAACAGAUUCAAUCCAAAUGGAACACAAGUCUAGAUGAUACUGAUGCAAUUAAGGCGACAAGAGUGACUCAAUUCAUGCUUAUGCUCACUAGUUUUAUCAAAGCCAAUGAUUCAAGUAGCUUAGACAUACUUCUAAAUGCUUAUAAGACAUCACUGAUGGAUUUAACUAUGGCAUAGCAACAAUCAGAACUGGACUGAGUCAAGACAAGCAGAUUUCAAUUUCUAACAAUGACAAUGCAAGUUCUAUACUUAAGUUCUCUAAAAGCAAAGCUUACAUCAGUACAUUUGCAAUUUAGGCUCAUUUUUAAAUGCAUUACUACAUGAAUGCACAAUCUUAAAGAAUUAGCUAUAUGAAUGCAACAGGUUCAAUCCAUGAGUAAUAUUAAAGCUCUGCACAACAGUUUCAAUCAGAACCAAUGAUGCAAGCAACUUAGACAAUUUCUAAUUGAUGCAAGACUUUCAUUGAUGGAUUAAACAUAGGCAAUAGCAUCAGAUAACACUGGGAUUGAACUUAGACAGUAUGAGAUAUGCUUAUGUAUGCAAAAUAACUUAUCAAUCAUGAUGCAAGCAGCAGAGGCAUUCUACUCAAUUCUACAACACAUUCAUGAUGAUUCAAGCUAUGACAACUCCCAAGACAAUGCAAUAAACAGAACAUGAGAUUCUGGGACUCUAGACAUUAAUUACUAACAAUAAGACAAUGCAGCAGCAAAACAAUUUCAGUGCAAUUAGCCUAGACAUUCUACUAGAAGCUAUAAACUCUUAAUGGAAUUUGGGAAAGCACAGAGUAUAAUCAAGAGAUAGAUUUAUCAAGACAUAUUAAAAUAGAUGAGACUAGGUUUACUCCCUUGUUUAAGAUGAUGAGGAGUGGUUCUUAAAGUUGCCACUUGAAUCCUCACUUCUUCUUCUUCUCUUAUUGUAAUCACCCUUCUGAAUUCACCACCAUGAUGGAAUGCUUGUGGAUGCUUCAGCUACUUCUUCAAUCACCUCACAAUAGAAGCCGCCUUGAUAGAGUAGCCUUCUUCUUCACACAGCCAAGAGUGCUCUGUCUUAGUUUGAGCACCCUCUUGAAUAGGCAAGCCACUGCCUAGACCCGGUUGGCUUCUUCUUCAGGUACUUGCAAUGGUAAGAGGAAGAACACCAGUGAGCUUAAGUGAGUUUUACAACCAUCUGUGCUUCUCCCUUAUUGUAACACCUCUCCAUUGUACACACAAUGGGCAUCAUUCUUUCUCUUUCAACUUGGAUUUGAUGAUGAGCUCGGAACACCUUUUGUGAACCUGAAACAUCACUCAAACUCUAGCAAAGAUAAGACACAAUUGCAUUGGGAUCAAUCCUUGACUUCAUCAAGUUUGAUCACCAAUGUCUCAAGCUUUAUAACAUUAGAUAGAAUCAAGACAAUGUCAACUUCUUAUCUAUGCAAGCAACCAUUCUCUAAAUACUAAGCAAGACCUUAUCAGAUUCAAGUCAAAGUAUUUAGGCAAUUUUAAACACUCCUUAAUAUGCAACUUAGACUUUAAUCUAAAUGCAAAACAAUACAAGGCAGCAACAAGGCAGUAUGAAUUAAUCUUAAUCAGUUUCUAACUCAUGAAAGCAAGCAUGAUUAGAUAAUAUAAUCUAUCAUCUUAACAAGACAAGUUAAUUUAGAACUGACAUUAAGCAUUUAACCAUUUUCAAUCGUAUUGAAUUCAAAUCUUGAUUAAUAAAUUAUCAAGUUUGAUUCUCACUAUUACAAGCAAUGCAACAGAUAGACACAAGGCAUUAUCAAGUUCUAUUCUUUGCAAGCUAACUCUCUAAGUACAAGCAAGAUCCUAGCAGAUUCAAGACAAGUUACUUAGGCACUCUUAAGAGCUUCUUUACUCAGUACUUAGACAUGAAUCUAAUACUUCAAUGUAAGACAGCCACAAGACUAUAUGCAACAGCUUUAAAUUCGGUUUCACUCCAUGUAUGCAAGCAGAUUUAAUUAAUCACAACAAGCAUCACUAUGAACCGGAGCUAAGCAUACUAAACAAUUUCAAUACCCAAACAAGACUCUUAAAGUAUCCUGGGACAGAUUCUAAAGCAACUUCAUUUUAGCAAUCUUUUAAACAAUCCUCAGGUUUUCAAUCACAUCACAACAUCACAACCUGUUCAUACACUCAAGCUUUAUACAAGAGAAAGAGAUUUCCUUACAGCCAAGGAACUAGUGUUAGUUCCUUGAAACUCUUUAGUGCAUGGGAAGAUCCGAGCUGUUGGUGUCAACUCCUACAUCUCCUUCUUUCAUGGACCUUUCUCUUGAACCCAUCAUGCCUAAGACACCUCCUCUCUUCAUUUUUGAGUCUCCAUACCAGGUACAAGUUGAAAGCUUUCACCUUUCUUCUUGGACAGUGAAUAGGAAUGGCUUGGACAUGCUUCCAAUGGCCUUCUUUCUUCAGGACGACCAUGAGAGAGUGGAGAACGACCAAGAACAGCUUCUGGACGCCAUUGGUGAGCACACCUUCUUCUUGAAGAGGUUGAACAGCCAAAUGAACAUGAAGCUUCUUCUUGGUUUGGAAAUGGCAUGGGAGUGAGCUUUGAGCUUAGCAGAAGCUGGAACCAAGUUCUAAUGAACCUGGCUCUGAUACCAUCUGAAAUUUAAGAGUACUCAGGUUGUAUGUGUGUGUGAAACCCAAAUGGGUAAAGAGAAAGAGCUUAGAAGCGAUUUGAGAGAAAGGAAGUUUAAUGAGAGUUUGUGUGUCUAAGUGUUUAAGAGAUUAGUAACAAGACUGAGAACGUGUGUAGAGAUUCAGGAUGAGAGACUAAGAGAAUAAGAGACUGAAGAUUAGUGUUUCAGAUUAGAGAAGGAGAAGGGAAACCCCCUUACUCACUUAAGGGUUACAAAAACGUCCACACAUAGCCUUUAUAUAGGCUUUACAAGUUUGCAAUCAUAAACCCUUAAUCUAAUGGCUAAAAAUGACUUGAGAAUGAAUGGCUAGGAUGUAGUCUUGGAUCUGGUCUUCACAAUCUUGGUGAUGGUCUCUGAUUGGCUAAAGGAAUCUGGUGAGAAGCUUGGAUGGUUCAGAUUGCCCAGGUUUGAAAUGGAUGGAUAAGAUGGAGCCUUGUGUAUUCCAUGGUCAAAGGUGCUUUACCUUUUGACUAGCUACUUUCCAGCUAGCAACAGGUCACGCCCAGCUCCUCUCUUAUCCAUUCCCAACAGUCACAAGCUCAGAUAACUCCUCCUUGCUCCCUAAGUUUGCACAUCUCCAUUUCGGGUCAAUCCGGGUAAAGUGGUACGGCCUGCUCAUCCGUACGGUUGAUGGUACGGACCUGAUGUCCGUACCUCGCCCUAUAUUUGCACAACUUCACCAAGCUUCUUCAAUAGAUGAACCAGAUCAUGUUUUGGGUCGCCCUAACUUUGCACGGUCGGUUCGUACCGUCUGAACCUCGGGACGCCCUAUCUUUGCACCAUCACCCAACUAUCUCCAAAUGGUGUCUAAGUCCCUCCUGGACUUAAACACUAUCUUUGUACAGC
RNAcentral lists this long non-coding RNA (5567 nucleotides) under Brassica rapa (field mustard). RNAcentral's name for it is "long non-coding RNA (BRAP_LNC008010)". Lineage: Eukaryota; Viridiplantae; Streptophyta; Magnoliopsida; Brassicales; Brassicaceae. The record is from RNAcentral.